CUAUACGAUCCUUAAGAGAAUCCAAAAUAUAGACAAUGCGAUUGCGAAGGGAAAUCACCAAGAGCACCCAAUGCUUACUAGAAAUGUUUAAACAUUUAGUAUAAAUAAUAAGAAAACCAACAAAAUAAUAAUAAUAAAGAUAAGAAAUUAUUGUACUUUUGCAAAUAUGGUGCAAUGAGAAACAAUUUUCCAUGGUGCAGACGAAUGGAAUCAACAAGAUAACUAACGACACCCUCUGGGUUUUUCUGGAAUGCCUCCCCUAGAAUAUUAUAAGGGUUCAAGAAAGCACAUUUGUUC
RNAcentral lists this long non-coding RNA (297 nucleotides) under Lactuca sativa (garden lettuce). RNAcentral's name for it is "long non-coding RNA (LSAT_LNC005471)". Lineage: Eukaryota; Viridiplantae; Streptophyta; Magnoliopsida; Asterales; Asteraceae. The record is from RNAcentral.